This 240-nucleotide unclassified non-coding RNA is filed under the name soil metagenome. Its description in RNAcentral is "partial contains 5.8S ribosomal RNA, internal transcribed spacer 2, and large subunit ribosomal RNA". The record is from RNAcentral.
AACCAUUCUCACCUGCGGCUAGACCUGCGGAGGGAUCAUUAAAAAGAGUGUGUAUCCCCCUGUAAAAUGGGUGGGUUACCUCCCGUCCUUUGUUGACCUCUUAGGAGGUUAUUUUGAACUUUCUGCUUCGGUGGGGUUAAACCUACCGGAACACCCUCAAAUUCUAAUCUUUAAAAAUUGUUCAGUCCGAUUCUAAUAAAAUAAAACAAAAACUUUUAACAACGGAUCUCAGAUCGGAAG